RNAcentral lists this long non-coding RNA (465 nucleotides) under Ananas comosus (pineapple). RNAcentral's name for it is "long non-coding RNA (ACOM_LNC038503)". Lineage: Eukaryota; Viridiplantae; Streptophyta; Magnoliopsida; Poales; Bromeliaceae. The record is from RNAcentral.
CGAUGUUCGGACUUUCGAAUCGACGAUUGGCUCCGUUAGAGUUGAUCUAGAGUAGUUAAAGUACCUAGAAAAUAAAUUUUGCGAUUUUUCGAUAUCAUUUUCCUAAUGAUUGAAGGGGCUCAAAAUCAAUAAUUUUAAUGACCGUGGUAAGCCGGUUGCAAGUUUAACGGUGUAGAAAUAUCCAAAUCAUGUGAAAUUUUGAUAGAAAAUUCUUUAUACUAUAUAAAAUAAGAUCAAUAUCUUUGAUAUAAAUUUUUAAUGUCAUAUCAUCACAUUUUGUGAGAUUUCUAUUUUCAGCCGUUGAUUUUGAGCCCCUUUGAUCAUUAGGCAAAUGAUAUCGAAAAAUCGCAAAAUUUAUUUUCUAGGUACUUCAAAUACUCUAGAUCAACUCUAACGGAAUCGAUCGUCGAUUCGAAAGUCCUAACAUCGAAAACAACUUGGAAGCACGGAGGCCUCCGUGCUUCC